Molecule: transfer RNA, 67 nt
Filed under: Salinibacter ruber
Lineage: Bacteria; Pseudomonadati; Rhodothermota; Rhodothermia; Rhodothermales; Salinibacteraceae
Also listed under: 1 other name
Rfam family: tRNA
About the family: Transfer RNA (tRNA) molecules are approximately 80 nucleotides in length. Their secondary structure includes four short double-helical elements and three loops (D, anti-codon, and T loops). Further hydrogen bonds mediate the characteristic L-shaped molecular structure. tRNAs have two regions of fundamental functional importance: the anti-codon, which is responsible for specific mRNA codon recognition, and the 3' end, to which the tRNAs corresponding amino acid is attached (by aminoacyl-tRNA synthetases). tRNAs cope with the degeneracy of the genetic code in two manners: having more than one tRNA (with a specific anti-codon) for a particular amino acid; and 'wobble' base-pairing, i.e. permitting non-standard base-pairing at the 3rd anti-codon position.
Source: RNAcentral
GGGAGUAGCUCAGUGGCAGAGCAUCAGCUUCCCAAGCUGAAGGUCGCGGGUUCGAUCCCCGUCUCCC